This 600-nucleotide ribosomal RNA is filed under the name Addisonia sp. TT-2014. RNAcentral describes it as "partial 12S rRNA". The stretch from base 208 to 600 matches the Rfam family "Microsporidia small subunit ribosomal RNA", at positions 752 to 1205 of the family's 1311-position model. The record is from RNAcentral. Lineage: Eukaryota; Metazoa; Mollusca; Gastropoda; Lepetellida; Addisoniidae.
AAGCAGAUCAAAUUAAAUAUAGAUGGUAAAAAAGAAGGUUAGAAUUUAAAAAUUAUUGAAUUAAUAAUUUUAAAGUUAGGGGUAUAAUUUAUAAGUUUAAAAUAAUUAUAUAUUUUUCAUAUGUUUGAUGCCUUGAAAUUUUAGGGAUAAACCAGGAUUAGAUACCCUGUUAUACUAAUAUUUAAAAAAUGAGAUUUAUUUCUACCAGGGUAGUACGAGUUAAAACUUAAAACUUAAAAGACUUGGCGGUGCUUUAUAUCUUUCUAGGGGAAUCUGUCCUAUAAUUCGAUAAUCCGCGGUUUAGCUGACCUAAAUUUGUAAAUUAGUAUUUAUACUAACAGUUAGUAUACCGUUGUUGAUAGGUGACUUUUAAGAAAAAGAUAAGUUAUCAAAUUGAAUAUUAAUUAUUUAUUAAUUAAUAGUUUGGGAUUUCAAAUCGAGGUGCAGCUGAUAUUUAGGAAGAGAUGGAUUACAAUAAAUAAUUUUUUAAUGGAUUAGUAAUUGUAAUUAUUAUUAUGAAAUUGGACUUAGGAGUAAUUUAAAGAUUAGAAUACUUAAAUGAAGAAUGCUCUAAGGUGUGCACAAAUCGCCCGUCGCUCU